CCAACGGCCCUCUUUAGGGCCACCACAUUAAAUUUACUAUUUUUC
This is a non-coding RNA of Strongyloides papillosus, 45 nucleotides long. The record is from Rfam. NCBI's taxonomy places the organism in Eukaryota, Metazoa, Nematoda, Chromadorea, Rhabditida, Strongyloididae.